RNAcentral lists this small RNA (161 nucleotides) under Staphylococcus sp. RNAcentral's name for it is "Manganese sequence". It matches the Rfam family "Manganese Mn2+ riboswitch aptamer (yybP-ykoY)". Rfam says of the family: This RNA was originally discovered in E. coli during a large scale screen and was named SraF. The family was later found to exist upstream of related families of protein genes in many bacteria, including the the yybP and ykoK genes in B. subtilis. Lineage: Bacteria; Bacillati; Bacillota; Bacilli; Caryophanales; Staphylococcaceae. The record is from RNAcentral.
UUUGUAGUCAGAGGGGAGUAACUCAACUGUUAUUAAAAAGAUAUAUGGAGUAUGCAUUUAUAUGCUUAAGGAAAAUACUUUAUAUAUCUUUUUAACAUAGUCAUUUUAUCGUCAUUACGAAGCUUGAUUGCUUCCGGUAAAAUGGGCAGAUACAAACUGUC